RNAcentral lists this ribosomal RNA (497 nucleotides) under uncultured bacterium. Its description in RNAcentral is "partial 16S ribosomal RNA". It matches the Rfam family "Bacterial small subunit ribosomal RNA", at positions 28 to 507 of the family's 1533-position model. The record is from RNAcentral.
GAUGAACGCUGGCGGCGUGCCUAAUACGUGCAAGUCGAGCGAACAGACGAGGAGCUUGCUCCUCUGACGUUAGCGGCGGACGGGUGAGUAACACGUGGAUAACCUACCUAUAAGACUGGGAUAACUUCGGGAAACCGGAGCUAAUACCGGAUAAUAUAUUGAACCUCAUGGUUCAAUAGUGAAAGACGGUUUUGCUGUCACUUAUAGAUGGAUCCGCGCCGCAUUAGCUAGUUGGUAAGGUAACGGCUUACCAAGGCAACGAUGCGUAGCCGACCUGAGAGGGUAGUCGGCCACACUGGAACUGAGACACGGUCCAGACUCCUACGGGAGGCAGCAGUAGGGUAUCUUCGGCAAUAGGCGAAAGCCUGACAGAGCAACGCCGCGUGAGUGAUGAAGGUCUUCGGAUCGUAAAACUCUGUUAUUAGGGAAGAACGAAUGUGUAAGUAAAUAUGCUCGGCUUGACGGUACCUAAUCAGAAAGCCACGGCUAACUACGUG